This 580-nucleotide ribosomal RNA is filed under the name Stomolophus meleagris (cannonball jelly). RNAcentral's name for it is "partial 16S large subunit ribosomal RNA". It matches the Rfam family "Bacterial large subunit ribosomal RNA", at positions 1832 to 2574 of the family's 2925-position model. Lineage: Eukaryota; Metazoa; Cnidaria; Scyphozoa; Rhizostomeae; Stomolophidae. The record is from RNAcentral.
GCCCCACUACAAACUUGUGGGGUGAAACCUGCUCAAUGGCUGUGAAUAAUUAAUAACAGCAGUUAAAUAGCCGCGGUAACUCUGACCGUGAUAAAGUAGCAUAAUCACUCGUCAUUUAAUUGGUGACUGGAAUGAAUGGUUAAACGAAUCUCUUACUGUCUCGAGAAGAAGUAUAGCUAAAUUGAAAUGGUAGUGAAGAUGCUACCUCAUGAUUAUAAGACGAAAAGACCCUAUUGAGCUUUACUAAAAGCUUAUAUUUGAUUUCACUCAAAUAAUUAUAUAAAGAAAAAACUGUAAGCUAGUUAGUUUGGUUGGGGCGACCACCUCUAAAACAGUAUCAGAGGAACUCUAAGGGUUUUAUAUUAAUAUAAAAAGCCUUACUGAAUAUUUAUCUAUUAAACAGUUACUAAUUUGUAGGAUAUAAUGACCCGUUAAUUAAUUUUAUUAAAUUAACGAAUAUAGAAAAAGUUACCGUAGGGAUAACAGGGUAAUAUUUUUGAAGAGUUCAUAUCGAUAAAAAUGUUUGCCACCUCGAUGUUGAAUUGUGGUAUCCUAAAGGUGCAGCAGCUUUUAAGGGUUG